AGAGUUUGAUCCUGGCUCAGAAUGAACGUUGGCGGCGUGGAUUAGGCAUGCAAGUCGAGCGCGAACCCCGCAAGGGGGGAAAGCGGCGAAAGGGACAGUAAUACGUAGAUAUCUGCCCUCGGGUCCGGGAUAGCUGCGGGAAACUGCAGGUAAUACCGGAUAACAUCUCCGGAUCAAAGGUGUGAUUCCGCCUGAGGAUGAGUCUGCGUCCUAUUAGCUAGUUGGUAAGGUAACGGCUUACCAAGGCAAUGAUGGGUAGCGGGUGUGAGAGCACGACCCGCGUCACUGGGACUGAGACACUGCCCAGACACCUACGGGUGGCUGCAGUCGAGGAUCUCCGGCAAUGGGCGCAAGCCUGACCGAGCGACGCCGCGUGCGGGAUGAAGGCUUUCGGGUUGUAAACCGCUGUCAGAGGGGAUGAAAUGUAGGUGGGUUCUCCCAUCUAUUUGACAUAGCCUCAGAGGAAGUACGGGCUAAGUUCGUGCCAGCCGCCGCGGUAAUUC
This 503-nucleotide ribosomal RNA is filed under the name uncultured bacterium. RNAcentral's name for it is "bacterial SSU rRNA". It matches the Rfam family "Bacterial small subunit ribosomal RNA", at positions 8 to 526 of the family's 1533-position model. The record is from RNAcentral.